Molecule: long non-coding RNA, 274 nt
Organism: Megalobrama amblycephala (Wuchang bream)
Lineage: Eukaryota; Metazoa; Chordata; Actinopteri; Cypriniformes; Xenocyprididae
Exons: 2
Source: RefSeq, a predicted model, not a curated record
GAAAGAAGGACAUGAACAUCUUGGAUGACAUGUGAGUAAAGGAUGCUGACGCAAACCUUCACCUAAACCCUCCACCCUCCCCACCACCACCACCACCAGGAUGGUCCCUGUCCAUACCUCCCAGGGGGGUCGGCUAUGCCCAUGCCUUCAUCUUCAGGCAGGAAAUGCAGAGUCCGCAACCCUUUAGGAUCUGAGCUACGGAUGGGGCCUACACCAAAGAACUUUCUUACAACAUUUUGCUUGCUGAUUGUUAAUAAAUAUGGUUGUCACAUUA